CUGAGACACAAAUAUGAACACACGG
RNAcentral lists this non-coding RNA (25 nucleotides) under Cricetulus griseus (Chinese hamster). The record is from RNAcentral. Lineage: Eukaryota; Metazoa; Chordata; Mammalia; Rodentia; Cricetidae.